Molecule: ribosomal RNA, 429 nt
Filed under: uncultured crenarchaeote
Lineage: Archaea; Thermoproteati; Thermoproteota
Description: bacterial SSU rRNA
Rfam family: Archaeal small subunit ribosomal RNA
Source: RNAcentral
UGCUAGNUCGAGCGCCGUUCAUAGCCAAAAGGAGGCGCGGCGACAGUUUCAGUAGCACGUGGCUAACCUGCCCUUGGGAUAGGAACAACCCCGGGAAACUGGGGCUAAUUCCCAAUAGGUGAAGAACUCUGGAAUGAGUCUUCGCCAGAAAGGACUCCUACACUAUGCUUGUAGGUUUCGCCCAAGGAUGGGGCCGCGACCGAUCAGGUUGUUGGUGAGGUAAUGGCUCACCAAGCCUUUUACCGGUGCGGGCCGUGGGAGCGGAAGCCCGGAGAUGGGCACUGAGACAAGGGCCCAGGCCCUACGGGGCGCAGNNGUCGCGAAAACUUUGCAAUAAGCGCAAGNUUGACAGGGCUAUCCCGAGUGCCAUCCGCUGAGGAAGGCUUUUACCCCAGUCUAGAACGCCGGGNGAAUAAGCGGGGGGGNCAA